RNAcentral lists this transfer RNA (74 nucleotides) under Leptospira weilii. Its description in RNAcentral is "tRNA-Asp". It matches the Rfam family "tRNA". From Rfam's summary of the family: Transfer RNA (tRNA) molecules are approximately 80 nucleotides in length. Lineage: Bacteria; Pseudomonadati; Spirochaetota; Leptospiria; Leptospirales; Leptospiraceae. RNAcentral also lists the same sequence under 1 other name. The record is from RNAcentral.
GGAGCUGUAGCUCAGCUGGUUAGAGUGCCUGCUUGUCACGCAGGAUGUCGCGGGUUCGAGUCCCGUCAGCUCCG